This 939-nucleotide ribosomal RNA is filed under the name uncultured bacterium. Its description in RNAcentral is "bacterial SSU rRNA". It matches the Rfam family "Bacterial small subunit ribosomal RNA", at positions 563 to 1499 of the family's 1533-position model. The record is from RNAcentral.
AAGCGUGCGCAGGCGGUUUUGUAAGUCAGAUGUGAAAUCCCCGAGCUCAACUUGGGAACUGCGUUUGAAACUACAAGACUAGAAUAUGUCAGAGGGGGGUAGAAUUCCACGUGUAGCAGUGAAAUGCGUAGAGAUGUGGAGGAAUACCAAUGGCGAAGGCAGCCCCCCGGGAUAAUAUUGACGCUCAUGCACGAAAGCGUGGGGAGCAAACAGGAUUAGAUACCCUGGUAGUCCACGCCCUAAACGAUGUCUACUAGUUGUUGGUGGAGUAAAAUCCAUGAGUAACGCAGCUAACGCGUGAAGUAGACCGCCUGGGGAGUACGGUCGCAAGAUUAAAACUCAAAUGAAUUGACGGGGGCCCGCACAAGCGGUGGAUUAUGUGGAUUAAUUCGAUGCAACGCGAAAAACCUUACCUGGCCUUGACAUGUAACGAACUUUCCAGAGAUGGAUUGGUGCUCGAAAGAGAGCGUUAACACAGGUGCUGCAUGGCUGUCGUCAGCUCGUGUCGUGAGAUGUCGGGUUAAGUCCCGCAACGAGCGCAACCCUUGCCAUUAAUUGCCAUCAUUUAGUUGGGCACUUUAAUGGGACUGCCGGUGACAAACCGGAGGAAGGUGGGGAUGACGUCAAGUCCUCAUGGCCCUUAUGGCCAGGGCUUCACACGUAAUACAAUGGUCGGUACAGAGGGUUGCCAAGCCGCGAGGUGGAGCCAAUCCCAGAAAGCCGAUCGUAGUCCGGAUUGUAGUCUGCAACUCGACUACAUGAAGUCGGAAUCGCUAGUAAUCGCGGAUCAGCAUGUCGCGGUGAAUACGUUCCCGGGCCUUGUACACACCGCCCGUCACACCAUGGGAGUGGGUUUUACCAGAAGUAGGUAGUCUAACCUUUCGGGAGGACGCUUACCACGGUAGUAUUCAUGACUGGGGUGAAGUCGUAACAAGGUAA